This 292-nucleotide ribosomal RNA is filed under the name uncultured Bacillus sp. RNAcentral's name for it is "partial 16S ribosomal RNA". It matches the Rfam family "Bacterial small subunit ribosomal RNA", at positions 505 to 796 of the family's 1533-position model. Lineage: Bacteria; Bacillati; Bacillota; Bacilli; Caryophanales; Bacillaceae. The record is from RNAcentral.
GUGUCAGCAGCCGUGGUAAUACGUAGGUGGCAAGCGUUAUCCGGAAUUAUUGGGCGUAAAGCGCGCGCAGGUGGUUUCUUAAGUCUGAUGUGAAAGCCCACGGCUCAACCGUGGAGGGUCAUUGGAAACUGGGAGACUCGAGUGCAGAAGAGGAAAGUGGAAUUCCAUGUGUAGCGGUGAAAUGCGUAGAGAUAUGGAGGAACACCAGUGGCGAAGGCGACUUUCUGGUCUGUAACUGACACUGAGGCGCGAAAGCGUGGGGAGCAAACAGGAUUAGAUACCCCAGUAGUCC